This 559-nucleotide ribosomal RNA is filed under the name uncultured bacterium. Its description in RNAcentral is "partial 16S ribosomal RNA". It matches the Rfam family "Bacterial small subunit ribosomal RNA", at positions 355 to 909 of the family's 1533-position model. The record is from RNAcentral.
UGGGGAAUUUUGGACAAUGGGCGAAAGCCUGAUCCAGCAAUGCCGCGUGUGUGAAGAAGGCCUUCGGGUUGUAAAGCACUUUUGUCCGGAAAGAAAUCCUUGGCUCUAAUACAGUCGGGGGAUGACGGUACCGGAAGAAUAAGCACCGGCUAACUACGUGCCAGCAGCCGCGGUAAUACGUAGGGUGCAAGCGUUAAUCGGAAUUACUGGGCGUAAAGCGUGCGCAGGCGGUUUGCUAAGACCGAUGUGAAAUCCCCGGGCUCAACCUGGGAACUGCAUUGGUGACUGGCAGGCUAGAGUAUGGCAGAGGGGGGUAGAAUUCCACGUGUAGCAGUGAAAUGCGUAGAGAUGUGGAGGAAUACCGAUGGCGAAGGCAGCCCCCUGGGCCAAUACUGACGCUCAUGCACGAAAGCGUGGGGAGCAAACAGGAUUAGAUACCCUGGUAGUCCACGCCCUAAACGAUGUCAACUAGUUGUGGGGAUUCAUUCCUUAGUAACGUAGCUAACGCGUGAAGUUGACCGCCUGGGGAGUACGGUCGCAAGAUUAAAACUCAAAGGAA